Non-coding RNA from Pelobates cultripes (western spadefoot toad), 217 nucleotides. NCBI's taxonomy places the organism in Eukaryota, Metazoa, Chordata, Amphibia, Anura, Pelobatidae. The record is from the annotation of a GenBank genome assembly.
CUGAUUGUAAGGUGCUCCAGUCCAGGAUAUAUCGCAGUAUCUUAUAGAGUUUGGAAAUGGAAUAGGCAGUGGAGUCAGAAGAGCACAACAUUGUGUCUAAAGGGUUCUCCCAGUCAACAGGCGUGAAGUGUUGAGUAAUGGUGUUAUAGUAGUGUCAUGUUUGAAGGUAAGCGAACCAUGGAAGAGGAAGGCCUGCAAAACGCUCCCAUAGCUCAGC